This 120-nucleotide microRNA precursor is filed under the name Gossypium raimondii (Peruvian cotton). RNAcentral's name for it is "miR7504e stem-loop (gra-MIR7504e)". It matches the Rfam family "MIR7504 microRNA precursor family". The record is from miRBase by way of RNAcentral. Lineage: Eukaryota; Viridiplantae; Streptophyta; Magnoliopsida; Malvales; Malvaceae.
UAAUAGGAAAAUGACAAAUCUGAUUUUUCCUCCCGAUUUUUAGUAUUUCUAAUUGAAUUUGAAAAAAUAGGAAAAAGUUGAAAAUCAGGAGAAAAAAAUCUGAUUUGUCAUUCUUCUAUU